AGCGGGGUAGGCCAGCCAGGUAGGCCGCGGGGCUCAUAACCCCGAGGUCCCCGGUUCAGGGGAGAACCCGCCGAAAAAUCCGGGCCCCGCUACCA
RNAcentral lists this transfer RNA (95 nucleotides) under Thermoproteus sp. JCHS_4. RNAcentral's name for it is "tRNA-Met". It matches the Rfam family "tRNA". From Rfam's summary of the family: Transfer RNA (tRNA) molecules are approximately 80 nucleotides in length. Their secondary structure includes four short double-helical elements and three loops (D, anti-codon, and T loops). Further hydrogen bonds mediate the characteristic L-shaped molecular structure. tRNAs have two regions of fundamental functional importance: the anti-codon, which is responsible for specific mRNA codon recognition, and the 3' end, to which the tRNAs corresponding amino acid is attached (by aminoacyl-tRNA synthetases). tRNAs cope with the degeneracy of the genetic code in two manners: having more than one tRNA (with a specific anti-codon) for a particular amino acid; and 'wobble' base-pairing, i.e. permitting non-standard base-pairing at the 3rd anti-codon position. Lineage: Archaea; Thermoproteati; Thermoproteota; Thermoprotei; Thermoproteales; Thermoproteaceae. RNAcentral also lists the same sequence under 1 other name. The record is from RNAcentral.